CACAAGCAAAAACAUUAUCAUUUACAUUUUUCUCAUCCCUCUUUAAAUUAAUUUUGAGUAGGUAAUAUGAAAGCAUAUAAAGAAACACAACUCUGUCUUCACUUAUUAGUUCCUAAAGUUAAACAAAACGCUACCUGGCCGGUAAUGAAAGGCUUAACGCAGCUUGUGUGUUCAACAAAAAUGCACAGCCAAAAGUGAUACCAUAACUUUAGAUCUUUCCAACUUGAAAAUCAGGGUGCUACAUCCUUGGCAUCAUAUGACAAGAUUAACGUCAGUCUGAUUUUACAAACCAUCUACUAUAAAUCACAGUGUUUAUACACAUAUUCUAGGGUAGACUUAAGAAUUUGUUUCUGAACAUUCAGAAUUACUGGAGUCAGGUUUUAGAGCAGGCCCUACAGCGAGACUAGGUGAAUUCAAAUUUUGGCUGUAGCAAUUUACUAACGAUGUAACCUUGAAAAGGUCACUUGAGUUGUCUGGGCCCGUUUCCUCAUCACCACAUCACCUAACUCAUAGACCAUGCACAGGGGCUGGAACACAGGACAAGUGCAAUGAAUCUAGCUAUCAUCAACCUUUCUCAUCAGAGUCUAGAAUUGGUCUGUUUCUAAGCCUGUGCAUAGGAGAAGGGACGUUCAAGAAGUUUAAAUGUUUGUAUCACGUUUCCUCAUUUGUUCUCUGGCUUAUUCAUGAAAUCACAAUUCCUGGCACCACAUGCUAAGCCACUAAUUCGGUUUAUUUUGCAUCUGGUUUCUGCGGGGAGCCCAGCUUUCCUUCACUGUUUGCCUCAGCUAGCUGCAAACUUUUGAGUCUACACCUAAUGUUUAGGAACAUUUGUUGGAAAUGGAAACGACUUGCCUAAAACCAGGGUUUAAAGCUCUUGGUUUCCUUUUGCUGAACUCAAGGAACCAUGUCCACAUUCCUAACUCUUGCCUUUGCCUUUGGUUUAUUGCACUACUGCUUUCUGCCCUUAAACGGCGUAAGCCAAAGCACCUUCAAUGACCUGAGUAGAAACUACAAUAGGUCCCUUCUGAAGGCUGACUUUCCCCAUCCUGGUCCCAGUUUUGCCACUAGCUGCCUUCUGAUCCAGGCGCUGGCACUUGACCCGAUUUCCUCAUUUACAAAAUCACAACUACGGUUCCGGUUACCUUCAUCUCACCCGGUGCUUCCCGUGCCAGGUGGUCUUGGGUGCCACGGGGCACGGGACCCAGCGGAGCUGGCCAGCAGGGGGCGGGGCUAAUGCCCCCAGAACGCCACAGAAAGGUGGGGAGGGCGGCAUCAGAAGGCGGGGCUCGGCAGGGUGACAGAUCCGGACGUGGACAUCUUGGGCAGCCGCCAUGUUGGAGACGCCGACUACAGGCCGCGGCGGCGGCCAAGUUUAAACGCGUUUUCGCACAGCCCGGUCUUGCGGCAGCGCCUCCUGUAGACCAGCCGGAGACGAGCGAGGGUGGCGGCGCCAAGUCGUGGCGACUUUCCUUGACACGUGGGGGACAUCGGCCUCGCUUCUUGGUGUGGUCCUAAUAAAACGGAAAGGAAGAGAAGAAGGAAUAUCAAGAACGCUUUCACGGUGGCCUCUCCCCCAUCUUCCGCCUAUCUGCCAUUCGAACCCACUUCCCGUCUCUGUGCCUUAGUCGCCUUGGAGGCCACCUGCUGGAAUCGCAGGGUGGGCUGAGGAUGAAGUAAGACAUGAAAAGCACCCAAGUACAGUGUAGUAAGUAACGCGGCGACAUGUGGCAAGAACGCGGUGCGCCUUGCCGGCUAUUAUUACUGACAUUUUUGGAGCACUUUCUAUGUGCCAGGCAUUUAUAUUAAGUGCUUUAUGUGCAUCAUCUAACUUAACUCUCGUAACAACCUCAUGCGACAGAAUUAUCCCAUUUUACACACGAGCAAAUAGGCAAGGAGAAGAAUGGCUUUGCCUGGUGCAAAUGGAAUUGCCAGGUCCCAGGAUAUGUGCAUUUAACAGUUCUGAUACAUGCGACCAAACCGCUCUUCACAGAGGACCUGUCAGUUUAUACUCCCACCAGCGUGUGGUACUAACGCAGCUUUCCCACGGCCUUGCCCACAUGGUGUAUUAACAAAUACUGGGAUUUUUGCCAUCUUAAGUGAAAAAUGCCAUCUUUUAUUUUGCAUGUUUCUUAUCAUGAAUGAGGGUGAGAGCUAUUUGUAUUGGUUUAUUGUUUGCUCAUUUCUCUAUUGGGUUGUUGGUCUUUUUUAUAUCAGUUCCCAGGAACUCUUUGUAUAUUAGAAGGAUUAAGCCCUCAGCCGUGAGUGUUUUUCUUAGUCUAGGGAAUUUUGAAUUGGCUUAUGGUGGGGUUUUUUUGGCCUUAAAGUUAAAAAAUUUUUU
Hipposideros armiger (great roundleaf bat) is the source of this 2338-nucleotide long non-coding RNA. RefSeq lists it as uncharacterized. The transcript has 3 exons. NCBI's taxonomy places the organism in Eukaryota, Metazoa, Chordata, Mammalia, Chiroptera, Hipposideridae. The record is from RefSeq and is a predicted model, not a curated record.